GGAAUUUACAAUCCCCCCUCACAGGAGACGCAGCUGGUAACGUAGAGCUAUACCUUGCUCUGUACCACUUCAUCUCGUGGUACUGACUGAGCUCGCCUUUCCUCCUUCAGUCUCUCUCUCUUCUUCCUCAGGCUUCUUCCACGGUUAAAGCGUGAGACCUGAAGACAGACCACACUGUUACUCAGUGAUGUCAUGCUCUUUCUUACCACAGAAGCCAAGUAAUAGAGUAAUACCCUUUUCACCUCUGUCUGAAAGGCAAUGGAUAAAGGAGAAUGUGUUGCCAGAUGAACACUGAUGGGCCAAGCACCAUGGGUGCCAAUAGCUGUGAAAACACACCACCACUAAGGCAAGUCUGUAAGGACACUUUGCAAUUCCCUGGAGAGGUAAGCACCUCCUGUGUCCUCCAGCUGGUUGCCAAGCCAAGCCCAGCCCUUUUCACUCAGAGGUAACAAAGAGGAGCAGGGCAGCAACCGCACUUUGUCUCAUACCAGAAUAGAGAGCCCUACCAUGUGCCUUCUGACCCGAAGAGCAUUGCAGCGUUUCACAUGCAGCAGCACAGUACAAACAGGACAUUUUGUCCCCAUUUCUAAGCAUCUUCCAGUGCAACGAGGAUGAGAGAUGCCUGAAGCAGGCAGCAGAGCAACACAACCCAGGAACUUUAGGGUACAGGGUAGCUUUCUAACCCCUGGGCCACAAUGGCAAACAAGUGCCUCUGGCUGCUCCAUCCUCUGCCAGUCAGGCCAGUGGGAUCUCUGACAGCGCUUAAUGCUGUGGAGGCUUAAUCUGCACACCUUGCUGGGCUUGGGGGCUGAAAAGCUCCACAUCAACAUACCCGAGGCCAGCACACAGUGCCAGCAGAAACACAGGCACCUUUCACAGCAGAAGAGGAUGUGACUUCUCAAGGUUAACUGGACUCGGCUCCAAGUGUAUGUGUGUACUGGGGAAGAUCUGUAACGUACCUGUGAUGAUUUAGUGAGGAGGAGUGCAACCUCAGGGUUAUUGUGCUGUCUGGCAACCUCUAGAGGGGUCUGACCUGCCUGAGAGGAAAAAGAAAAUGGCAUUUCCUUCCAAACAGAAGCCCCUGGAAAUGUGGGAUUUCUCCACCCAAACGCUACAAAGAGCAUUGAAGGGAGUCUGCAUUAAUAUAAGUUACCAACAAAACUCUGUGCUGCUUACAUUGUUGACAACAGAUGUGUCAGCCCCUGCCUCCAGCAACAGCUUAACCACCUUCCUGUGAUUGAGAGCAGCAGCUACAUGGAGCGCAGUAUCCCCUGCCUGCAAGUCAGAAAGCAAAGAACAACGGUGUAACACGCGUCCUUGGGUCUCACCCUGCAGAAAUCACACCUCCCUAAAAGAGGCUCAGAGUUCAAGAGACCUGCACUCAUUGAGCUUAAAUAAGGCCUGUUCAGUAAGAAAAAUAGAAUUAGGAGGAAGGGGACAGGAGGGGGCAGAAACUACUUCAGGGCAAGGACCUGCUUCAGCCUGGUUUUGAGAAACGCAGCCGGGGUGCUGGUGAUCUGGUUUAACUGAAACAAGUGAUACACAAUGCAGCCGGGAGGCAGCCCAGCUCUACCACCAGCAAAUGGAUAAGACAUCAGAGGGCAGAACCGGUUUUCCUACCACAUCCUUCUCUUUUUUCUGGGUUUGAUUAUUUGGUGCACAGACGGUCAACUCUCACGUUACUCAAAACCAGCCAGGUAGGUACAAGCAGCGUGGUGGCUGGUAUUCCCUUCAGGAGAUUCCUCAAGAAAAACAGGGUUUGGAUGAAAGCCAGGAGCGAUCCAGGUCCUGCAUAACACACUGCCCUGCCCUUGUCCCAGCACAGACAGGUGAAGACAGGUGUGAUCAGAUUCGGGUACCACUAACACAGUUAGCAGCUGUUCAAAGGAGACGGGACAUGUGGAUGUAAUGCCUUCCUGUCUCCUCUGCCUUGCAUUCUGCCUUCAGAAAAUUACAUCUUCUUGAGACUAGUGGAUGUCUGCUGCUUGUCGCUAACCUGGCUGAGGUGUACUCAUAAAAUCAUUAUAUGUGCAAAUAUGGAACAACUUUGGGUAGUGCUGGGGAAUGGAGGGAAGGGGUGUCUCUCUGGGCCAGGUUCACACCGGUUAAUCUUAAUAUUCAGUAGCUCAUUUUGCAAGUUUAAAGACUCAUUUCCAAAUAAAAUUACACAGUAAAUUCAA
Long non-coding RNA from Pezoporus occidentalis (night parrot), 2180 nucleotides. RefSeq lists it as uncharacterized. The transcript has 2 exons. Lineage: Eukaryota; Metazoa; Chordata; Aves; Psittaciformes; Psittacidae. The record is from RefSeq and is a predicted model, not a curated record.